Long non-coding RNA from Leopardus geoffroyi (Geoffroy's cat), 661 nucleotides. RefSeq lists it as uncharacterized. The transcript is spliced from 2 exons. The record is from RefSeq and is a predicted model, not a curated record. NCBI's taxonomy places the organism in Eukaryota, Metazoa, Chordata, Mammalia, Carnivora, Felidae.
GGCUUCCAGCCGAGGACGCCCUGUGGUCGGAAGACCGUGUCCUCCUGGCCGAGAGCUGACCCUGGGUGUUAUGGCAGAAUGGCCCCAGCCAGACCAGCCGACCAAGACCUGGAGGGCUCUUCUGCAUUUUCUGAACACUCUGAAAAAAGAACCGAAGCCAAACCCACCAAACAAAAAUCUCUGAACUCCAUCUGGCUCCGCGGCACGUGCCUGCUACGGUCAGAUUCACAGAUCGCGGGCGCGAACUUGCUUCCAUUUAAUUAGCCAUUUCCUCCAGGUAUGUUCCCCGAGUGCUACGUGGGGGCAACUGCGAUACAAGGGUUGGGGAGACAGGCUUCACGAAGGAGAGUGGGGGGCCCUUAGCGAAGGCAGGGGUGCCGCACUCAGUACCGGCACCGGCGUGGGCACCCGCCCCACUCCCUGCAGCCCCGGCAGAGAAAUCUACACACUCAGGAGAGGAGGCCGCGACCCCGGCUCCCGUAGCCUCUGGUUACAGUUAAGGACAGAAUCUCAUCCCUACCUCCUUCUCUGCACACGCCUGGUGCUCAGCAGGGGAGAGGCAGGAGGGCAGAGCGGACACUACCUGGCUUGCUGAGAAGCCAGGCUGGGCGCUGCCUGGGCCUCAACUGUCUUGACUAUAAAGCAAGAAUAGGAAUGCCUA